RNAcentral lists this ribosomal RNA (600 nucleotides) under uncultured bacterium. RNAcentral describes it as "bacterial SSU rRNA". It matches the Rfam family "Bacterial small subunit ribosomal RNA", at positions 89 to 713 of the family's 1533-position model. The record is from RNAcentral.
GCNAGAGUGACGUAAGUGCGUACACGUUAGAUCUGCCCUCACAGAGAAUAGCUCGGGGACUCGAAUUACUCUCAUAGAAAGUGGUGUGGCAUCACACAGUUUUAAAUCUACGGAGGUUGAGAUGACAUGCGCAUGAUUAGCUAGUUGGCGGGGUAAGCACCAGCGAUGAUCAUUAGGGAACUGAGAGGUUGAUCCCCCACACUGGCACUGAGAUACGGGCCAGACUCCUACGGGAGGCAGAGUAGGAAUAUUGGACAAUGGGUGCAAGCCUGAUCCACCAUGCCGCGUGCAGGAAGAAGGCCUUCUGGGUUGUAAACUGCUUUUGCCAGGGGAUAAAACGACCGUGCGCGGUUAAUUGAAGGUACCUGGUGAAUAAGCCACGGCUAACUACGUGCCAGCAGCCGCGGUAAUACGUAGGUGGCAAGCGUUGUCCGGAUUUAUUGGGUUUAAAGGGUGCGUAGCGGUCUGUUAAGUCAGUGGUGAAAUACGGCAGCUCAACUGUCGGAGGUGCCAUUGAUACUGGCGGACUUGGAGUACUGAUGAGGUAGCGGAAAUGGACCGGUGUACGGUAAAUGCUUAAUUUCGUCCAAAAACACCCGA